This 2862-nucleotide long non-coding RNA is filed under the name Sus scrofa (pig). RNAcentral's name for it is "lncRNA (ENSSSCG00060064599.1)". Lineage: Eukaryota; Metazoa; Chordata; Mammalia; Artiodactyla; Suidae. The record is from RNAcentral.
CUGUCUUUUUGCCUUUUCUUGAGCCGCUCCCUCGGCCUAUGGAGGUUCCCAGGCUAGGGGUCCAAUCGGAGCUGUAGCCACUGGCCUACGCCAGAGCCACAGCAACGCAGGAUCCAAGCUGCAUCUGUGACCCACACCACAGCUCAUGGCAACACUGGAUCCUUAACCCAUUGAGCAAGGCCAGGGAUUGAACCCACAACCUCACGGUUUCUAGUCAGAUUCAUUAACCACCAAGUACUGCCUGUGAGUCCAUUUCUAUAACAUUUCCCAAGUGAAAAGUCUAGGGACGUCAAGAUUCCGGCUCAGCCACUGAGAUGACGGAGUCAACUCUAGAUUGCAGGUGGAAGGGACAAGGCUGCAGAACCAGACGGUCCCUGAUUCUGUUCUUGGCUCUCACUCCUCUGACUGUGUGACCCAGGCACAUAACUAACUUCUCUGAACCCUCAACUGAGUUCUCUGUAACACGGGGAAAGGAUCAUGCAUGUUUGGUAAAAGUAUUGAGAGAAUGAAGGGGACAAAUUUAAAACCACACAAUGCCUGAAACAUCAUAAGUAUUCAAUAAAUGGAAGCUAUUAUUUUUAUUAUAAGAUAUACUUGUUCUAUUUUCCCUUUGUUACCGCUCUUAUCAACUGUCAAUAAGUAGAAACUGCACAAUAGCAGUUUUUAACUGGCAUAGUAAAGUUCUUACAAAACCCGAAGCUGAGCUCAACCACCACAGAAGAGGAGGAAUUAGUGUGUGUUUUGAAUAUUAAUGAACAAAUGACCUCCUUCCUUAUUAUGUAUCUGUAUUCAAAAUGCCACAGCUAGUUCUAGUGGUAAUUACUGAAUUUUCAACAUUUAUAAAGAAACAGUACAUACAGUAUGGAGAUAAUUGCCCCAUUGGAGUCUUAAGUAAGAGUCAGUUUCCUAUAAAUAUAGAAUUUGAUAAUUAUCACUAGUGCUCUGUAUUAAAAUUAGAAAGUAGGUAAAUAACAAAUAGGAACAGAAUUUAUUCAUUAUCUUUCAAAUGCAUGUCAGCUCAAUUACCCUAAAAUCUCACAGACAAUAGGUAAAUUGUUUUUCUCCUUUUGCGGGAAGACUUCUUUUCCAGAGUUUCUGUUUCCCGAGGUGGAGUGAGGCAUCGCUUGUUUGACAAGCCGACAGUAUUAUAAUGGCCCCCGGAUUUAGAAGGGGGCUGAAGGCAGGUUUCAUCUGUCUGUGCUUCGGAUUCUGCCUCAGUUCUGAAUUAAGUGUGUUAGAACUGCUUAGAAUUGUAAAGUUGGAGACCCACAGGGGAGAAAGAAAGUUCGAGCUCUGUUUUCAUUUAUAAUCCCUAACGCUGAGUUUUAAGGUCAGACCCAAGUACAAAUCUCCAAACCAGGGAUUUCCCAAGUGAUCACCAAAUCUCGGGAUGCUUGCCAAUCUUCUCCUUUCCACCCAUCCCUCCUCCACCCCAGCGGGGCGGUCAGGGGCCACGUGAAAGCACAAUCUCAGACUCUCCUCUGCUCCAAGGCCUGCCCGCCACGUUGUUCCAGACCGAAGGCGCUCUGGGAGCUGUGGGAGGCUCACCACAAUCAAUAAUUGUCCAGGAAACAAACUCAGAGAAGAGAAAGAAGUGAUUUAUUGAAGAGGCACAUGGAAAUGGCACAAGCCCGGCAUCCCUUCUAAUCACAGACAUGGCACCUAAAAGGAGCAGGGGAGCGGAGCCUCGUUAAACAAAUGUGGAUGCGCCGGGGCCCAAUCAAAAGCUGUUCCGGGGAACAAGGUACCUGAUGAAAGGGAGAACCUGCCACGUUAAACACUGGGCUCAGGUAAAGAGCACGUAAUUGUAGGAGUACAGGGGAAGAAGACUCACCAGGAAAAAGCCAACACUGCUGAAAUUAACAAGAAAAGGGGAAAGAACAUUUAAAAAGCUGGGCCAUCGAUACACAGCAAAAAGGCCCUGUGUAUAAACAGCCCAUCUCAGACCAGAGGAAGAGGAGAGGAUGAACCGCAGGCCCAGUGUUCAAAGUGUCUGCUUUUGCAUCUGCCAGGUGAAAAGGAAGGAAAUGUGGAUUUUCUGAGCCAGAAUUGGUUUCCAAGGAGGGAGGCUGCAGCAAGCCCAGGGCAGUGGCCAUGGCAGAGCCAGUGAGCAAAAGCUGGUCAUGACCUAGAUGACACUGCUGGCUGAGUGGCCGAGGGGUGCAAGUGACCAAUGGCUUCUGUCUCCUGGUCUCCAGAGUCAAAAAGGAAGGAGUAAAAUGCUGCUCUCUCUCUGCUCUUGGGAAGGGCCAGACGGAGGGACGGGCCAUUUCUGCCACCUCUCUGACCAAUUACGUGUCCCUGGGACCCAGUCUCUGCCAUCCUACUGUCUAUCGCUGGAACCUUUGUCUCAGCUCCCACCCUCCGAAACCCACCCCAUUCAGGAGGGGACACCUUGCUUUCUUGUCCUUCGAGUCUAAGGGACAGCAAAAUGACACUCAUGAAAGGACAGACAGAAGACCAAUGAGACCCGAUGUCAGGUCUCAAAGGGAUCAGGGAGCUCCAAGAGUUUCUCAAACUUGUUCACGUCCUGACACACACAGAAAAUGAUAAUAUUUGUAGAGUACACGGAGGAAACAGGUGAUGGGUUCCUAUCUGGAUCUGACUCCCUGGGGCUCCAGCCGCCCCAAACUCACCCUGAUCUGAGGGCUGAGGGGGUCACUGUGUUGACCCACUGGUAACUCCCAGGGAAGAAGCUCUGACAGGCUCACCCGUUAUCAGUCCAAGGGUGCAGACGCCAGAUCUCAGCACCCCGGGGUGCUUCUCUUCACAAAUGCCUCUGCUGGGCCAGUCAGCUCUCUCAUCAGUGGUUUCAGCAGGAGAGAAGAGCCCCAGCUGAUAAGGACAGUCACUGUCCGCUAC